RNAcentral lists this ribosomal RNA (254 nucleotides) under uncultured bacterium. RNAcentral describes it as "partial 16S ribosomal RNA". It matches the Rfam family "Bacterial small subunit ribosomal RNA", at positions 524 to 776 of the family's 1533-position model. The record is from RNAcentral.
GACGUAGGGCGCGAGCGUUGUCCGGAUUUAUUGGGCGUAAAGGGCUCGUAGGCGGUUUGUCGCGUCGGGAGUGAAAUCCACUGGCUUAACUGGUGGCUUGCUUUCGAUACGGGCAGACUGGAGGUAUGCAGGGGAGAACGGAAUUCCUGGUGUAGCGGUGAAAUGCGCAGAUAUCAGGAAGAACACCCGUGGCUAAGGCGGCUCUCUAGUACGGUACUGACGCUGAGACGCGAAAAGCGUGGGGAGCGAACAGG